This 397-nucleotide ribosomal RNA is filed under the name uncultured bacterium. RNAcentral describes it as "partial 16S ribosomal RNA". It matches the Rfam family "Bacterial small subunit ribosomal RNA", at positions 523 to 918 of the family's 1533-position model. The record is from RNAcentral.
AUACGUAGGUGGCAAGCGUUGUCCGGAAUUAUUGGGCGUAAAGCGCGCGCAGGCGGUCCUUUAAGUCUGAUGUGAAAGCCCACGGCUCAACCGUGGAGGGUCAUUGGAAACUGGGGGACUUGAGUGCAGAAGAGGAAAGUGGAAUUCCAAGUGUAGCGGUGAAAUGCGUAGAGAUUUGGAGGAACACCAGUGGCGAAGGCGACUUUCUGGUCUGUAACUGACGCUGAGGCGCGAAAGCGUGGGGAGCAAACAGGAUUAGAUACCCUGGUAGUCCACGCCGUAAACGAUGAGUGCUAAGUGUUGGGGGGUUUCCGCCCCUCAGUGCUGCAGCUAACGCAUUAAGCACUCCGCCUGGGGAGUACGGUCGCAAGACUGAAACUCAAAGGAAUUGACGGGG